RNAcentral lists this ribosomal RNA (1526 nucleotides) under Klebsiella pneumoniae. RNAcentral's name for it is "bacterial SSU rRNA". It matches the Rfam family "Bacterial small subunit ribosomal RNA". The record is from RNAcentral. Lineage: Bacteria; Pseudomonadati; Pseudomonadota; Gammaproteobacteria; Enterobacterales; Enterobacteriaceae.
GAGUUUGAUCAUGGCUCAGAUUGAACGCUGGCGGCAGGCCUAACACAUGCAAGUCGAGCGGUAGCACAGAGAGCUUGCUCUCGGGUGACGAGCGGCGGACGGGUGAGUAAUGUCUGGGAAACUGCCUGAUGGAGGGGGAUAACUACUGGAAACGGUAGCUAAUACCGCAUAAUGUCGCAAGACCAAAGUGGGGGACCUUCGGGCCUCAUGCCAUCAGAUGUGCCCAGAUGGGAUUAGCUUGUAGGUGGGGUAACGGCUCACCUAGGCGACGAUCCCUAGCUGGUCUGAGAGGAUGACCAGCCACACUGGAACUGAGACACGGUCCAGACUCCUACGGGAGGCAGCAGUGGGGAAUAUUGCACAAUGGGCGCAAGCCUGAUGCAGCCAUGCCGCGUGUGUGAAGAAGGCCUUCGGGUUGUAAAGCACUUUCAGCGGGGAGGAAGGCGGUGAGGUUAAUAACCUCAUCGAUUGACGUUACCCGCAGAAGAAGCACCGGCUAACUCCGUGCCAGCAGCCGCGGUAAUACGGAGGGUGCAAGCGUUAAUCGGAAUUACUGGGCGUAAAGCGCACGCAGGCGGUCUGUCAAGUCGGAUGUGAAAUCCCCGGGCUCAACCUGGGAACUGCAUUCGAAACUGGCAGGCUAGAGUCUUGUAGAGGGGGGUAGAAUUCCAGGUGUAGCGGUGAAAUGCGUAGAGAUCUGGAGGAAUACCGGUGGCGAAGGCGGCCCCCUGGACAAAGACUGACGCUCAGGUGCGAAAGCGUGGGGAGCAAACAGGAUUAGAUACCCUGGUAGUCCACGCCGUAAACGAUGUCGAUUUGGAGGUUGUGCCCUUGAGGCGUGGCUUCCGGAGCUAACGCGUUAAAUCGACCGCCUGGGGAGUACGGCCGCAAGGUUAAAACUCAAAUGAAUUGACGGGGGCCCGCACAAGCGGUGGAGCAUGUGGUUUAAUUCGAUGCAACGCGAAGAACCUUACCUGGUCUUGACAUCCACAGAACUUAGCAGAGAUGCUUUGGUGCCUUCGGGAACUGUGAGACAGGUGCUGCAUGGCUGUCGUCAGCUCGUGUUGUGAAAUGUUGGGUUAAGUCCCGCAACGAGCGCAACCCUUAUCCUUUGUUGCCAGCGGUCCGGCCGGGAACUCAAAGGAGACUGCCAGUGAUAAACUGGAGGAAGGUGGGGAUGACGUCAAGUCAUCAUGGCCCUUACGACCAGGGCUACACACGUGCUACAAUGGCAUAUACAAAGAGAAGCGACCUCGCGAGAGCAAGCGGACCUCAUAAAGUAUGUCGUAGUCCGGAUUGGAGUCUGCAACUCGACUCCAUGAAGUCGGAAUCGCUAGUAAUCGUAGAUCAGAAUGCUACGGUGAAUACGUUCCCGGGCCUUGUACACACCGCCCGUCACACCAUGGGAGUGGGUUGCAAAAGAAGUAGGUAGCUUAACCUUCGGGAGGGCGCUUACCACUUUGUGAUUCAUGACUGGGGUGAAGUCGUAACAAGGUAACCGUAGGGGAACCUGCGGUUGGAUCACC